Molecule: RNase P RNA, 398 nt
Filed under: Mesorhizobium sp. 61-13
Lineage: Bacteria; Pseudomonadati; Pseudomonadota; Alphaproteobacteria; Hyphomicrobiales; Phyllobacteriaceae
Description: RNase P RNA component class A
Rfam family: Bacterial RNase P class A
About the family: Ribonuclease P (RNase P) is a ubiquitous endoribonuclease, found in archaea, bacteria and eukarya as well as chloroplasts and mitochondria. Its best characterised activity is the generation of mature 5'-ends of tRNAs by cleaving the 5'-leader elements of precursor-tRNAs.
Source: RNAcentral
UCAGCUGGCCGGGCGGCCGCACCUGCGAGAGCCGAAAGGCUGCGGGUGAGGAAAGUCCGGGCUCCAUGGAAACACGGUGCCGGCUAAUGGCCGGCGGGGGCGACCCCAGGGAAAGUGCCACAGAGAGCAGACCGCCACGAUUUUCGUGGCAAGGGUGAAAGGGUGGGGUAAGAGCCCACCGCGCGACCGGCAACGGGAGCGGCAUGGUAAACCCCACCGGGAGCAAAACCGAAUAGGGGCGGUGCGAGGGGAAACCCUCGGGGGCUGUUUCCGGCUCACCGCCCGGGUAGGUUGCGUGAGAUGCCUGGCAACAGGCGUCCAAGAUGAAUGGCCGCCACGUUUCCGCGCCGCAAGGGGCGGAGGCCAUACAGAACCCGGCUUACAGGCCGGCUGGCAUU